UACCUGCAGCCCGAGUGGUGGCCGUUAUUAUUGGGCCUAAAACGUCCGUAGCCUGUUUGGUAGAUGCCUGUGUAAAUCGAACGGCUUAACCGUUCGAACUGCGGGUAGACCGCCAGACUUGGGACCGGGAGAGUCACGAAGUACUCCGGGGGUAGAGGUGAAAUUCUGUAAUCCUCGGGGGACUACCGGUGGCGAAGGCGUCGUGAUAGAACGGCUCCGACGGUGAGGGACGAAGCCCUGGGGCGCAAACCGG
Molecule: ribosomal RNA, 253 nt
Filed under: uncultured bacterium
Lineage: Bacteria
Description: partial 16S ribosomal RNA
Rfam family: Archaeal small subunit ribosomal RNA
Source: RNAcentral